CCUACGGGCGGCAGCAGUGGGGAAUAUUGGACAAUGGGGGCAACCCUGAUCCAGCCAUGCCGCGUGUGUGAAGAAGGCCCUCGGGUUGUAAAGCACUUUCAGUGAGGAAGAACGCCUGGUGGUUAAUACCCAUCAGGAAAGACAUCACUCACAGAAGAAGCACCGGCUAACUCCGUGCCAGCAGCCGCGGUAAUACGGAGGGUGCGAGCGUUAAUCGGAAUUACUGGGCGUAAAGCGCGCGUAGGUGGCUUGAUAAGCCGGUUGUGAAAGCCCCGGGCUCAAACUGGGAACGGCAUCCGGAACUGUCAAGCUAGAGUGCAGGAGAGGAAGGUAGAAUUCCCGGUGUAGCGGUGAAAUGCGUAGAGAUCGGGAGGAAUACCAGUGGCGAAGGCGGCCUUCUGGACUGACACUGACACUGAGGUGCGAAAGCGUGGGUAGCAAACAGGAUUAGAUACCCCGGUAGUC
Molecule: ribosomal RNA, 465 nt
Filed under: Vreelandella stevensii
Lineage: Bacteria; Pseudomonadati; Pseudomonadota; Gammaproteobacteria; Oceanospirillales; Halomonadaceae
Description: partial 16S ribosomal RNA
Rfam family: Bacterial small subunit ribosomal RNA
Source: RNAcentral